Molecule: small RNA, 89 nt
Organism: Paenibacillus yonginensis
Lineage: Bacteria; Bacillati; Bacillota; Bacilli; Caryophanales; Paenibacillaceae
Rfam family: BsrC
About the family: The 301 nucleotide sequence from Kouji Nakamura has been trimmed to a highly conserved ~85 nucleotide long core to form this family.
Source: Rfam
AACUUCUAAAACAACAAAAGCCCUACCUCUCUUCUGUCCUUGCGGCUCCGAUGACCGCGCCAGUGUGAAUCAGAAACUGCUUAAAUUCA